This 372-nucleotide unclassified non-coding RNA is filed under the name uncultured bacterium. RNAcentral describes it as "contains 16S-23S intergenic spacer region". The record is from RNAcentral.
UCCGGUUUGUCACCGGCAGUUUCUUUAGAGUGCCCAACUAAAUGAUGGCAACUAAAGACGUGGGUUGCGCUCGUUGCGGGACUUAACCCAACAUCUCACGACACGAGCUGACGACAGCCAUGCACCACCUGUGAUGGUGUCCCGAAGGAAAACCGUGUUUCCACGGCGGUCACCAACAUGUCAAGCCCAGGUAAGGUUCUUCGCGUUGCGUCGAAUUAAACCACAUGCUCCGCUGCUUGUGCGGGCCCCCGUCAAUUCCUUUGAGUUUCACCCUUGCGGGCGUACUCCCCAGGUGGAUUACUUAACGCUUUCGCUAGGACGCGGACUGUGUAUCGCCCACAUCGAGUAAUCAUCGUUUACAGCGUGGACUAC